UACGGAGGGAGCUAGCGUUGUUCGGAAUUACUGGGCGUGAAGCGCGCGUAGGCGGCGACUCAAGUCAGAGGUGAAAGCCCGGGGCUCAACCCCGGAACUGCCUUUGAAACUAGGUUGCUAGAAUCUUGGAGAGGUCAGUGGAAUUCCGAGUGUAGAGGUGAAAUUCGUAGAUAUUCGGGAGAACACCAGUGGCGAAGGCGACUGACUGGACAAGUAUUGACGCUGAGGUGCGAAAGCGUGGGGAGCAAACAGG
This 253-nucleotide ribosomal RNA is filed under the name uncultured bacterium. RNAcentral's name for it is "partial 16S ribosomal RNA". It matches the Rfam family "Bacterial small subunit ribosomal RNA", at positions 524 to 776 of the family's 1533-position model. The record is from RNAcentral.